This 23998-nucleotide long non-coding RNA is filed under the name Cricetulus griseus (Chinese hamster). Its description in RNAcentral is "lncRNA (ENSCGRG00015031253.1)". The record is from RNAcentral. Lineage: Eukaryota; Metazoa; Chordata; Mammalia; Rodentia; Cricetidae.
UAUUCAUUUGGGCCUAACUCGGGUGGGUGGCAGGCGUAAAGCACACAUGUGGCGGUGGGGCUCAGGCAGCUUUUGGCAGAAAUAUUUAUCGUAACACUCUCCCUCCAACAAGGCCACACCUGCUAAUCCUUCUCAGGUAUUGCCACUCUUUGAUGACUGAUCAUUCAAAUAUAUGAGCCUAUGGGGGCCAUUCUUAUUCAAACCGCCACACAAGAGGUCAUGGAAGUAGCAUAAGUUAAUGAAGUAAGCUGGUACCAGGGAGACAGUGGGAGUAUCAGGCACUGUGGUGAACUGUCAAGACCAAGGCCAGCUGGAGGAUAUUUGCUCUGGCCAUUAUUUAAAAGAAGAUUGAUACGCAGGUCUUUGUGAACAGUUCCUGGUUUACAGGUGUUGUUUGAUAACUUAAAUCAAAGGAGAAUGGAUCUUCCAAUAAGGCAGAACAAAACCUGUCAGAAGUUUAAAUUUUUAUUCUGAGCUGUAUUUUUCAGCAUGAAGAUAGAACAUGGAAAUAGAGUGGGAACUGACACUGCCUACCCUGCCAGAGAAUGUAGGCAGCACAUGUGGCCAGUCCUGCUCCAUAGAAGACAAAAUUGAAGCAGAGAGAGUCUUUCAACUUCCCCCAACCACAUUUCUCUGUGUGACAAGAGACAAUUGGGCUACCUCCUAGCUGGCCUGUAAUUGGAUGGGUAGAAAGCACUUUCAACAGUCCCAGUGAUCACACUCUCAGUAGUCAUUGUGCUUUAAUUGCAUUCUCUCAGGUUAGGUAUUUUUUGGAAAACAUUGAUAAAUCUUUUGUCUUCUCUUAGUAUCUAGGUCUCCUCUGAUAAAUGUCACAACAUUGUGUUUGGAGUUUGCAGUGGUUGGGGACUUUUGAAGUUGGAUUAAAUGUAUUUUGCAUUAUGAUAUUGUUGCAAGCUUAUAGGGGUCAGGGAUGGAAAUUGGUAGUUUGAAUGUAAUUGGCCCCCAUAAUCUCGUAGGGAGUGGCACUUUUAGGAGGUGUGGCUUUGUUGGAUAGGUAUGGCCUUGUUGGAGGAAGUGUGUUACUGUAGGGGAGGGCUUUGAGGUUUCAUAUAUGCGCAAGCCAUGCUCAGUGUCUCAGACCACUUCCUGUUGCCUACAAGUCAAGAUGUAGGACUCUCAGCUCUGUCUCCAGCACCAUGACUGCUGCAUGCUACCAUGAUUGAUAAUGGACUAAUCAUCUGAAAAUGUAAGCCACCCAAUUAAAUGUUUUCCUUCAUAAGAAUUGCCAUGGUCAUGGUGUCUCUUCACAACAAUAGAAACCCUAACUAAGAUAGAGUUUUAUCUCUCAUUGUUCCUGUUUCGGCUCAUCUCUCAUUUUCUUACUUCUUUUCCCCUGCUCCUCCUCUGCUAUGUGUCAAGUCCAAAGGAAACUGGAUUUUCCCAAAUCCUGAUGGUUAGCCAAAAGCUAGCAGUCCUUAUGAACUUGUGAAACUGGUUCCUUCUACCAAAGGAGCUGUUUCCCUUAGCACUGGAAGAAGGGGCAAAUGACUAUCUGUGGUGCCUAUUAGCAUAUCCAAGUGCAUGCUGGCCUUCAGGCUCUCUCAGCAUCACAAGUACCUGUUACACAUUUCAGAGUCUAUGCUAGCAUCUCAGCUAUUCUCACCUUUUCCUCCAUCCUAAACUUCUAGAACUCAUGGGCUCCCCUCCUCCCAGCUUCUCAUUUCUUUUUAUAACCAUGUUAUUUUAGCUAUGUAUUCUCUGGAUACUUCCUUUGUCUUCUUCCCCCACCCCCCUUUCCCUACCUCUCUCUCUGCUCUGCUCUACUCCUGUUUCCCUCAUAGCCAGAUCCAGUUUGCUGGCCAUGGUCACUUUACUGCUUUCUUUCUCUGCUCUGAACUCUUCCAGAUGCCUCUAGCUGUUUUCUCCCUCGUAUCUACAACAAAAAACCUUUCCCACAACCAUACCACGGAGUCAGUCAUGUGGUCAGUUUAUACACUACAUACAUUCAAAGAGUAACAUCUUUUGCCACCAAGUGAAACCUCCAGUGUCAGAAACAGGUUAAAUAUAAUUAAGUUGUUGGGAAAAAAAUGGGCUACCAUGGAAUUCCCCAAACAACUUGGGCUAUUGCCAAGGCUAUUGAUUGCUUUCCAGAAACUGAUGGCAAGGCCCAAUUGCUGAAGACGGCUCUUACGUGCCUCAUUGAACCCAGAGAAGCAAAGGUAGGGCCUACUUAGAGUCUUCACUUCUGCUGACUAGUAUUCACAGAACUGGAAGGUACUUGGUACACUACCAUAGGAUAAUGAUAAUCACCAAGGCAGCUACAAACCCUUCGAUCUACAAUGGUGACCCACAUGCAUGAUGCACUGGUAUAACUGUGGCACAAAAAUUGUGGGAGUGACUACCACUAUUUGAUUCAAUUUAAGGCCUACUCCGUUAGACAGAACCUAUGACUGAUACAGGUUAGGUGGCCAAGAUCUCAAGACUAGGUAAUCAGGCAGUGGGUCUAGGUGAAAUACUAUUGUUAUGCUACUAGAACAGCAAUUCAAUGACUCCUAAUGACAUUCUGUGAUACUCAUAGAUCAGUGUUUCAUUUAGCAUUAUCCUCUUGCUGUAGAUGGGAACUAAUACAGAAGCUCACAACAGGACAAAGUUCAGAAAGUGAGAGACCUUAGGAUACUCACUCCUAAAUGUGGUAUUUUUAUCACACUCCUUCCCUCAGGAGGUGGGGUAGGGGAAACCUUGCAGAAGAGGAGGCAGAAAGAUUGUAAGAGCCAGAGGGGAUGGAUGACACCAAAGAAACAGUAUCUUCUAGAUUCAGCAAGACUGACACACAUACUGACCUACAGGGACUGGCAGGAUGUACAAGGCCUGCACAGGUCCAGGCCAGAUGGGGUCUUAGCACUGAGAGGGGGAAGUGGACGUGAGCUCCCAUUCUAUACUAAAAAAUUAUCUCUGAUGAUAACUGCUUGCAAAGGAAAAAUUAGUUCUCUCCAACGGAGUCUCACUGGGCAUACAAACCACGCUUGUGAGUGGGCCCAUACCUAGCAGCAGAUAGCCAACAUUAAAUGAACUCAAUGAUAUUUUUGUAGAUGUUUUUUUUUUCUCACAUGACUUUGGCAUUUUGGGUUUUGUUUGUUUUUUUACCUUACUGGUUUUUGUUUGAAUAUUAUGGUUCCCAAUUUUGUAUUUUUGUUUUGUUUUGUUUUUAUUCAUUUAUUUAUUUUACAUCCUGGCUGCAGCCUCCCUCCAUCCUCCCCUUCCAGUCCCUGCUCCCCAUCCCCAUCCCCCAAUCCUCUCCAUCUCCAUCCAGAAAGGUCAGAUCUUCCAUGAGUAUCAAUAAAACAUGGCAUAUCAAAUUAUAGUAAGACUGUGCACCUUCCCGUGUAUUAAGGCUUGGCAAGGCAACUGAGUAUGAGAAGUGGGGUUCCAAAAGCCAGUAAAAGAGUCAGAGACAGCUCCUGUUCCUGCAGUUAGGAGUUCCACAAGAGGAACAAGCUACCAAUUUUAUGUUUUUAUGGGUUUUAUUUUUGUGUUCAUAUGUGUCUCUUUGUGCAUAUUCUCAUGCUUUUCUUUUCUUUUAAAUCUGGUUUGUUUUUAUUUGCCUGUUUGUUUUCUAAAGAAAGAGAAAGAAGAAAUAGAGUUGGAUGGAUAGGGAGGUGGAAAGGAUCUGGAAGGAGAUGGGGUAAGGAAAACUAUGAUCAGAAUAUAGUGUAUAAAAUUAUUUUCAAUAAAAAUAAAAUAAAUGGCAGUAAGAAAAAAAUUGACACAUUAGAAUCCCAAGAAAUGUGUACCUUGACUUACAAGGAUUGAUUCAUUCACUUUGGUCCAGUGUACAUUUUCAUUUUUACCAGUAACUUCUUGUAUUUUUAAAAUAUUCUUCUUAUUAUUCAUUUACAUGUAUGCAUGUUUAUCUGUGUAUGUGUAUGUGCCUGAGUUGGUCAGAGGCAUGUCACAUCCUCUGGAGCUGGAGUUAUAGGCAGGUGUGAGUUGCCUGAUGUGGGUGCUGGAAAUUCAACUUGAGUCUUCUGUUCUUACAUACUCUUAACUACGGAGCCAUCUCUCCAGCUGUACCCACCCCCCCCACCAGUAACAUUAAAAACAUUAUCUUUAUGUGACUUUUACAAGUGUCUUUAAUUUUCUUCAGAAGUAAGAAGAAGACCUCAUUUGCAGUGUUUGGCUCUGUCUUGUUUUUCUGUGUAUCUGUCUCUAAACAUAUGAACCCAACAAGCCUCCGCUCACCAUCAGGUUGAAAAUGAAUUGAAAACAAUUCCAGGCUCCUGGUUUGUCCUGCCAGUGACCUUUGUUGCAUUCCAGGAGGAGGUGUCGUCUGUGGGUUCUGCCCUGGGGCCAGUGGUGUCUCUUGGUGACUGCCCAGCACCAGCUGUCUCUCACCCCCAAGGGCAAUCAUGUGCCUGCCACAGAUCUGAAUCAUCACUGCAGGGACAAAAGCCAGGCCAGUCACUUCUUACAAAUCUCUUCUGAUUACAAAACCUAUAUAGCCCACUAUCCAAGCUGCCACAUUCGCAUGACCUGGACCCAUGAAAUAGGUGUUUCUCCUAGAGGCAACAUUUGAAGGAAACUAACCUUAACAGAUGCUCCAUCCCUGUCACUCAUCUUUGCUGCAUGAACUUACUCCAAAUUCCAGCUCGGCACUAGACAAUGUCUUUCACCAUGACUUGAAUAAAGCCAUUUUUUGUUUGUUUGUUUAAUCUUAACUCCUGUCUAAUAGGUCUAAGUGAAAAUGCUACCAUUUCUACAGAGUGUAUAGCAGGCCAGGCAAUCCCAGAGUCCACUUAUAGAGGCAGAAACUCAGCUCCAUGAGUUGAACGACUUGCCUAAGGACACAGAGUGAACUCAGCAGCUACUGCCAAAGCCCUCUACCUCUAAGCCAUUCUCUAAUUCCAGACAGGCUUAAACACGAACUUUCAGAUGCCACCUUCUCACACUUCCCAGUCCUUUUUUCUACCAUUCCAUCUGGCAAAUGCCAUAAAUAUCUGCCCUAGAGAUAUUUAUGCAGAGUGCUUCGAGCCUACUUCCUUGUCUCAUGUCUACCUGUCCACUCACCAUUUCCACACCGGCCAUGCGCCCUUUCGCAUUCUACCCUUCUGAGUUCUUGCCCAUUCCACUCCACUCCACUCAGAAUUCAAAUUCCUAGCCUUCUGUGAUUGGGUUAUGGGUUGAAUUGUGUCCCUGUUCAUAUAUCUAACUCACAUGUCGGAAGACUUGACCCCCAAUAACUCAAUGUGACCUUAUUUGGAAGUGUUGUCACUGUAGUUGCAAUGAAGCAGGGUAGACAUCUCAAUGCAACAUGCAUGUUGUCUUUACACAAAAAGAGAUUUGGCCACAAAUACACACAGAGAGAAUAGAGAUGAAGGUAAGGACCAUGGUGAUGGUUCCAUGAGCCAAGGGAUGCCCAAGACUGCCAGCACCCCCAGAGCUGGGAGCAGCAGAUCCUUCCUGACAGCCCUCAGGGAAUCAACACCACUGACCCUUCAUCUCAGACUGCCAGCUUCUAGUACUGAUGGACAAUAUAUCGUUAAGCCACCCAGUUUGCAAUAUUUUUAACAACCUAGCUAACAUUCCAGUCCAUUUCGCAAGACCCAGUACAAGUGUUUCCGCCUCUAACUCCCUAAGCCAUUUCUAAGGGUGAUCAGGCUGCUGUAGCAAAAUAUCACAGGCAUGUUUUAUGCAAACAGAAGACUAAGUUUACCUCUAACGGCUCUGAAGGCUGCUGUCCAGUGAGGGUUUGUGUCUUCAGUUAGUCAUCCUCUCACUUGGUCCCCAAAUGUCAUAAGGGAUAAGGGUCUCUCUGGAGACCUUUUAUAAGACUUUUAAUCCCAUCCAGAAGGGCUCUGUUCCACAAUCUACUCAUCUCCCAAAGGCUCUUCUUCCUAAUACCAUUACCUUAGGGUGAGAAUUUAACAUUUGAACAUGACAGGGUUUCCUGUAUGUGUGGGCAGCUGGGGAUAGGUGGUGACACAAACAGUCACACCACAGUAUGCUGUAGCAUAAUCACUUUUUCUAUGUCUCUGCUGUUUACAACAGAAGCUGAGGUUUUAAGAGCAAGCCAGCCCCCUUUCUCUCUGUGCUCAGUAAAUGCAUGCUGAGAAGAAGACUGAGGAAUGGCAUAUUCUUGUUGGUACACCCAAUCUGGCUGUUUGCCUAGGCUGCAAUUCUUUGAUUAGUAGAAAGAGGACUGAGCUGAGAUUCUGGUCUCCAAAGAGACAGCUUUGAGUUGAAUCAGCUUCCCAGAUGUGCCCUGGGUUCACAGAACCAAUCCAAAGAGAAGCAAAAAUCUGAACUGGUCGUAAAGGCUUUUUAUCAGGGGUGAGAGCAGAACAUUUCACAAACCAGAGGGGAGAGGCUACAAGUUCAGUCAUGAGAGGCAGGAGAAGGAGGCAGGGAUACAGGAGAGCUUGACCAGUCGAAGUCUAGGCUUGUGUAUAGAGGGAAACAGAUUACAACACAGCCUGGUGCCUGCUGCCUGAGUCCCAGAUCAGUUCCAUGGACUCCUGUCUGGAUUGAGGAGAAAGACUGAGCCAUUAGAAAAGCUGGACAAAUCUCUUCCCUGAAAGCCAUGUGGUACUCUGGGCCCUCAGCAGCUUAGCCUGUGUUGAUGCCCACUAUGUCAGAGGUAGGAGGAGAGCAGGUAGACAGUGCCGUGUUCUCUUGCAGAUCACACCCCGUUGGCAUUGUGGGAAGGGGCAACAUGGCUGCUGUGCUGACAUCAUGAGCUGCUUCAAGGUCACUUUCAUCCUAGAAUGUCUUCUUAAAAACUUGGGAGCUAAGGUUUUAUGUCACCUCUCGGGCUCAAGGAAAGAGUGGAGGACCCUGGAAUUUGACUUGGGGUGGUGGUGGUGUGCAUGAUGGGUACAUGUGUGUUGCAGACACAGCACCACUGAGUAGCUAAGUCACAAUAUAAUCACUAAUACCAACUCUCAGUGCAAAGAGCCCAAAAUCAUUUUCAUAAUGUUGAAUGACACUGGUUCUUGCAGAUUUGCCAAGUUUCUAAGGUCACCAUAAGGUAGAAACUUAGACUCCACAAUUGCAAGAGACUUCAGUGAUCAAGGGCAGUGAAUUAUGACUUUAGCUGUACAAUGGGGGGAUUCUUUUUUAACGCAAAGGUUGUGAUUGGAGGUGUAAUUCAACAGCAGAAUGUUUGCCCAGCAUUUUAAAGGCCCUGUGUUUGAGUCUCAGCACUGAGAAAUAAUAAAUAAACGAGAACAUUUUUAUAAAGGUUACCCUCACCAGAUCAAUUAAAUCAGAAUUCCUGGGCUAGAACCAAGUAUUAUAUAAUUCUGCUGAUUUGUGUUAAGAUUUGUGGAGAUUUGAAUGAAAAUGGACACCCCCCUCGGGUCAUAUAUUUGAAUGCUUGGUUUUUAGUUGGUAGAACUGUUUGGGAAGGAUGUUUGAAAAGUAUGGCCUUGUUGAAGGAGGUGUGUCACUGGGGUUGACUAUGAGGUUUCAAAAAGCCUGCACCAUUGCCAAUUAAUCCUCUUUGCCUCGGGCUUGUGCAUCAGAUGUGAGCACCCAGCUAUUGCUCCAGCACCAUGUCUACUGCCUGCUGUCAUGAUUUCCACCAUGAUGUCCUUUUUCAUCCUCUGAAACUGUAAGCAAGCCCCCCAGUGAAGUGCUUUCUUUAAUAAGUUGCCUUGUGUCACUUCACACCAAUACAACAGUGACUAAGACAAAAACACAACAGCUUAAUGUUUUCAUUGUCAACAAAAUUAAGUGAUAGCAUGAUUCAUAGGAGAGAAAUAAAAAGCUAUUUAAAGAACAGGACUAUGUUUUUUUCAGAGGUAGGACUCUGAAUCAGGUGCACUGGGUUCAACUCGUAGCCUGUCACUUACUUUCUGUGAACCUAGAAGACAUUACUUGGUCUCUUGUUUUCUUCAUAUUUCAAAUGAAAACAGUAGCUACCAUCUCACAAGGCAGUUGUGAGUGCUAGCUUGAAUUGUAUUGUCCAAGUGCCUCAAACUACACUUGGCAUGAUGCUCAAGUGCUGUACAAACAGUUGUUAUUACUUUCUCACAGGGCAAGCUUUUCACAGAACCAGGCUUAUACUUGAAAUUUAUGAGACAGUUUUCUGUCUCAUAAAUAGGCUUUCAUACGGGAUUCUGCCUUUGGAACAAGGGGCGCAGAAAUUAAAAACGCAUGUAUGUAUGCACAUUGGGCAAUUAAUAAUCUACAGCUUUGAUGUUAUGUCAGAAAAGAUGAAUGGUCUCAACUAUCUAGCAGAUGCCAUUCUAGGAACCAACACCUAGGACAUUAGAAAUGGCCAUGAGGAAAAUGGCUCUAGGAUUAAAAUGAAAAUCUUUUUUUUUUAUGAUGUGGAGUGUUUCAAGCAAAAUGGAAUUGCGUUUAUGAAUCUGCAUCUUAUAAAAUUAUAUUUCUAGGGGCUAAAGGGAAUUAUCAUGAGCCUUCAUUACAGUUCAAGGGAUGGGCAAUAAAAAUGCUUUCUGAGAGAGAGCAGGCAGAUGAGAAGAACAGAGAGGCUAGGUGAGCUAUCUUGACUUUUAAACAGCUAGAAGCCCCUAUAAAUUCCUCCACGACCCCAAAAGUUGGUGUUUUUAAAUUAAAUUUAAAUUACUUAACAAUUUUAUACACACUUAACCUUUUUAUUUUGUUAGUGGAUGUUGUAUUUGUUUGGUAACUUACAACAGGUUCAAAUUAGAUAUCUGAAUAUUUAUCUUCAUGAUUUAGAGUGAUUCUCACAGAGGAUGGGAUGUUCCUGAGGGACACUGGCUCCUUACCUGUAAGCAUCACUGAAGAGCUAGGCAAUGGGUCUGGAAUGGCUUCUAGCUCUGUCAAUGCAUUUUGUCAGGGUUGCCUUCUACACUUCUGAUGUGUUCAUACCGAGCAUCAUCAGAAUCUUCUAGAAGGGAAGGAGAGCUCCACUAGAGGUGUGUUCACACUGAAGGGGAGAGCUCCACUAGAGGUGUGUUCAUACUGAAGGUGAGAACUCCACUGGAGGUGUGUUCACACUGAAGGGGAGACCUCCACUAGAGGUGUGUUCACACUGAAGGGGAGAGCUCUACUAGAGGUGUGUUCACACUGAAGGGGAGAGCUCCACUAGAGGUGUGUUCACACUGAAGGGGAGAGCUCCACAGAGGUGUGUUCACACUGAAGGGGAGACCUCCACUAGAGGUGCUGUUCGCACUGAAGGGGAGAGCUCCCCUAGAGGCGCUAUUCACACUGAAGGGGAGACCUCCACUAGAGGUGCUGUUUGCACUGAAGGGGAGAGCUCCCCUAGAGGCGCUAUUCACACUGGCUUCACCAGGCUCCUGUACCUACUGGUAUUUUGUUGUUAUAUUCCUUCCUUCAAGGACCCUUUUUUCCUAAAAUCUUGGAAACACAUCCUUCAGUGACUCUUUCAUCCAAGACCCAUUAGAAGUCAGUUCUCUUAGUCUUUGGAAGUGUCUUCCCUAAGGGUGAGGUCUGUGAGAUUUGACUUCUACAUUAAAGCUCUUGGCCAGAAGGUAGCACAUGUCCUUGGCCCCAGAACUUGGGAGGCAGAAGCAGGCAGAUCUCUGUGAAUUUCAGGCCAGAAUGGUCUACAAAACAAGUUCCAGGAAAGACAGGGCUAUUACAUAGAGAAACCUUGUGUCAAAAAAUAAAACAAAACUAAAAGUUUUUGAUGAAUAAUUAUUUUGUAAUUUAUGAACCCAUAAAUACAUGGAUAAUAAAGGAGACAAAAAUAAAACCCUUGGAAGCCCCCAAAAAACGUGACCAAGAAAAAGUAUCAAGCAAGUUGAAGAAAGUCAAACUUAAAGCUGUCUUGCUUUUUGUUGAAGGAUCAUUAAGAAUGCAGACAGUGGCAGCAUCAGACAGAGCUGUACAUGGGAGUGAAGAGCAUGGCUUGAAACAGGGAGGAUCAGGACCCAGGAGAAAAAUUGUUUCCCUAGACGCCUUCCUCACCUCUUGCUCCUGGUGAUGUAUCUCAAUCCUAGCAAAAGAAUGAUAUUUACUUUCCAGAGAAAGUAAGAUAAAAUCCACUGGGCUAGAUGGUACAGACUGAGUUACACAUGUGUCCACCACAGGAUCCAGUGGAAGGAGAUGAUGCUGCUCACUCAGCUUUCAGAGGGGUUUCAUCCAGAAUCUUUCCUUCCUGGUAAAAGAACUGGAAAGAUAGAAAAACCAUCUCUGAGGACUGUGAUGGGUCCAUAAAUAAAAAAUAACCAUCCUGAUACCUAGGUUUCCUAAGCACUUGACUCAGCCCGAUCACUGCCCUGACAUUUACUCAGAACCUCCCAUCAACUUUUUAAAUUCUCCACAAAUAGACAUGAUCAGACACCCAAGACAGACAAGGGAGGACUCUAACAUGCAAGAUAGAGAUCAACUAGGCAAACUACAAACAGAGAAAAUAAAUAAAUGAAACAGUUUGGAGGAAAAAUAAAUUAUAUUUGGAGAGAAAACUUCAAAAUAAAGUUAUUAUUAAUGUCCUUAAAGAGAUGAACAAUGAUAUGAAAUCCCAGAAACAAGGUUGGAAUGUUACUUCAAAAGCCACAUUCAGGAAACAUAAAAGUCUCAGAGAUUAAAAACAUGGCAGAAUUGAAACUCUCAACAGAAAGCUUGGAAGGGUGUGUUGAAUCUAACUCCUAGGAAACAGCAAAAAGGCAAUAGAAAAAACAGAACCAAUGGUUAUAUAGAAUAUAACUAUAACUAUGUAUUUAUGUUUGCUAUUAUAUAAAAACAUAUUAAAUUGUACACUAUAUUAUAGACCAUUGUAUUUUUAUGAGGAAGCAAAGGCAGGCAGGUCUCUGUGACAUCAAGGCCAGUCCUGUCUCAAAAAACAAAACAAAACAACACUGUAUUAAGCAAUCUAGGAAAGUCAAUAUCUACAUGGAAUAGCAGAAAAAGAGAAUAAAGAAAAUUAAUGAGGAAAAAAUAAUGAUUUAAGAAAAAGUCUGUGAGCUUCCAGAUUGAAUAGCUCACAAAAUUCUCAGAACAAUGCAUGAAAUAGACUCCUACAAAGGCAUAGCUUUAAGAACUUCCAAGCACGGGGCAGGAAGAUCUUAAAACCCUUUAAAAGGCAAAUUCAAGUCAUAGACACUAAAAAACCAAACAGACUUACAAUAUGUAAACAUUGAUGAUUGAGCUAAAUAAAACUAUAUUAUGACUAUUAAAAUAUGAGGGUCUGGGAAAUGUACAUGUACAUAGUUGGAACAAAAGGAGAGAACUCCCUAUCAGCUAUUUUUCUUUCUGUUUUGUCAAAACACCCAACCGCAGCAACUUAGGAAGGGUCUAUUUGAGUUCAAGGUUUAAGAAAGGAAAUGGUCUAUCAUGGCAGAGAAGAUGGCUCUUGGUAACACUGCGCCUGUAGUCAAGAAACAGAUACAAACACUGAUUUUUUUAAAAAAAAUUCAGUGCCUAGCUUAUGGAAUUGUGCCACCAAUUCUAGUUCUCUAAUUUCUCUAGAAGUGCCCUUACAGAUUCCCACAGAGGUUUGUUUCCAAAUCUUCAUCUUAUGAUAUGGAAAUACUUAUUUUGUUAUGCUCUGGCCUCUACUGAUUUUGAUGAGAAGUUAUUGAAAGUCUAGUUGUUGGUCCUCUGUAUGGAAUCUGUAUUAUCUGAAUGUCUUAAAGACUUGCUGGUGUCAAUUACCUUUCUGUGGUUUCCCCCAAUUUUCAAGUCAUGGUGAAGAUCUAAAGGGCCUUGCUAAGUAAGAUUUAGGAUCUUUUAAGAAUCCUUAUAGUGGGGUUGGGGAAAUGGAACUGUCAGUAAAGUGCUUGCCACAUAAAAAUGAGGAAUGGAAUCCCCAGCGCACGCACACACACCACACACACACAGAAAGAGAGAGAGCAGGUUUAUCAGCAUGUACCUCUGAUUUCAGUACAGGGGAAGUAGAGACAGGAUGAGUUCCAGGUUCAGUGAGAAACCAUGUCUCAAAAUAUAAAGUGGCCUCAACUAUGUGUGCAUAUACAUAUACAUGAACAUGUUCUCUCUCUCUCUCUCUCUCUCUCUCUCUCUCUCUCUCUCACACACACACACACACACACACACACACACACACACACACACACACGUGUUGUACAGGGGUGCAGUUGCUUACUGGGCUCAUCAACAUCCCUGGAUGAAAAUUUCUACCCACAAGGUUAAAUCAAUGGAGACAGUAGAAGAGCCUCUGGAAAACAUUCAGAGUCACCAUGAGUAAUGAAUGAGUCUUUCCUCAGAAAAAGCAUACUCAGUGGGUACAAGGUUAUGAAACGCUGUUGAUUUUGGAAAGAACUGAAACCAAUUUGGGCCUUGCAAUUCUUCCAGGAGCAUAGCAGGAAGGAUUCUAUAAGGCUUCCCCAUCAUUUCAUUGCUGCCUCGUUUUCCCUUCCAUCCCCAAACUAUGGAAGAGUUGAGAGGAGAAUCGUGUGAGCUGAUUGUCACUGGUAGUCUGUGUGAGACUCAACAGUGGCAAUAGGUACAUUUAGAAUUGAACCGCUAGCAAUUUAUCUUACCUGAAAUCAAGAAUAGUGGAAUAGAUUUGUUGGCAGCAAAAUUCUCACAAGCUUGUUUUAUUUGGAAAAAGGUUUUCAGAAUCACUUUCUUCUACUUUAGAGGAAAAAAAACACACUGUCAACGAAAAUGCAAAUGAAGAGAAUAACCAAGUGAUAAUUAGCAUAGGAUAUUUUGACACCCGAAAUUCCUUCAUCUCCCAUUGACCUUGAACAAGUCAUUUCAGCACAGCCUUACCGCCACAUGUUUGGGAAGUUUAUUAAAUUCACUCUGUGGACUGUCUGCUGCAUGUGAAAAUGAAGUGCAAGACAUUUUGUUCCUUUCAAAUUUAUAGAGAGUCUGUAAAAUAACAUAUUCAGCAAGAACCAUCAAAUGUUCACUUUUGCGCACAAAUGGUAGUCCAAAUAAUCAAACAGAACUUUAUAUAUAAAUGUUAGCAUCAUCCCUGUUAUGACUUUCAAAAGCCUAAACACAGUGGUUCCCAGUUGCAAAUGCAACUCCACCCAGUGCAUCCUGCCUCCUGUUGUCUUGGUGACCCAUUGGUAUUGAAUACAGAGGAGGGGAAGUAACUCAGCAAAUGAGCAAGAGGGCCAAUCUUCCCUUCUUGCCAGAACCCUUGCAUUUUGUUUCCUAAUCUUGUUCAUCCUCAUGCAAUUAAGCUGCAAAACAUGCUUCUCCAAGAACCUGUCAAAUGUACGACUUUCAAAGAUCGCGCUGGAGUUGAAGAAGCUUGAUCCUUUACAUACAAAUGGCAUUUAGUUUACUCUAAGAGGAAAAUGAUAAAUCCAUCAAGACUUUCGGGCUUAAAUUGCUUUCAAGGACCCUCAACUUAAUUAAAAGAGGACAAUAUACAAAAGAAGUUGACCUUUUCCAUGUAAGCUCUAAAUAUGCCAUCAUUAAUGAAUUUCAUUACAGGAGAGACUACAAUGAACAACUGUAGUUCAGUUCAGCAUUUAAGUGCAGAUAACAAACUGGCAGACCAGUGGUUAUCAUUUUAAGUAGUUAAAACACUGUGACUAAGCCAUUCUCCUAAAAUGGACAAAUUAAUAUAUUCUAAAGAAUACAUUUUAUUUAGAAUGUAGGGGUCAUAUUAAUGAUCUCUCAUUCUCCUUUCAGAGAGGAAGAAUUAUGGGGCUGACUGGGUUUCCUUCUUUGCAGUUGUGUGAACCUUCAUUAUGCUACCCCCUUGAAGGGAAUUAGUUUUACAGUAACGAAUAAAUAGCUAAAACAAAAUUUGACAUUGUAGUGGGAGAAAAAAAAAACCACCUAAUUUUAAGAGCAAAUGUCCAUUAUAAUGUGCUGACAAAUUCAAAGCAUCCAUUCUGAGCAACGAAUGCACAAGGAAACUCCACAACAGUGGGUAACAGAAAGGAGAUAUCCUGACUGGAUUUUUUCCUAAAAUCUCACCUCAAGUACCAAGUACUCUCCUUCAACAGUUCUACAUAUCUUUCAACAGUUACUCUAAAAAUGAAAUGAAGGAAAACAAAACACUGUCUGUGAAAGACCCUGCCCCUCUGUCUUCCCUGCCUGUGCCGGUGCUGGGUGUUCUCUCUGGAGCAGGCGGGAGGAGCAGAUGACUGAGAGCAGCGCGGUGGGGACUGAGCAGGGCCAGGGUUCGGCCAGGGCUGGAGAAUGCAGUGCGGGCGGCGCCUGGAAGGGGAAAUUGAGUGGGAGAGCAGCGAUGGUGCUGCUUGUCCAGGAGCUGCGAGCGGGGAGCCUCCUCCAAGGCCAAGGACACGGGGGGGGCUGCGGAGCUGCCGGGGCCUCCCAAGCCUUCACCCUGGCAGGGCUCGCGCCCCCGGCCCGCCCCGCCUGGCACCGCGCCUCGGGGCUGGGGCCGGGCAACGAGCACCAGGUGGGCCGGCCCAAGGGCGAGCACCAGGUGCGUUGGCCCGAGGGCGAGAGCACCAGUUAGGCCUGCCCGGGGCCCCGCCCCCACACCCCCACCUGAUGAGAAAUACUCCGUCCCAAGGUCUCCACCCCCAAGGUCAGCCAUCUGGACGCGGAGGGGGGGAAUUGAGUCUGUUGUACCAAACACCAGACCUUGAGAAUAUGCUGAUCUGGAAUGGCUCUGUGUCUCAUUUGAACCAUCCAAUAGAAAUGAUUCUGUGUUUUGCCUCAUUUGAAUGACUCUGUAUUUCACCUCAUUUGAAUAACCCUGAGUAGCGCCUCAUUUACAUUGACCAAUGGGAAUAGCUCUGUACAAUGCCUCAUUAGAAUUAUCCAAUAGAAUCCCUGCUUCUAGCUUGCGCCUUUUUCCUAUAUAAGGACCCCUUUCCCUUGGCUCGGCGCACUUGGCCUCACAGAAGCUAAGUCGCCCGGGUACCCGUAUCUCCAAUAAAGCCUCUUGCUUUUGCAUCCAAGUCCGUGGUCUCGCUGAUUCCUGGGUGCGGGUCUCCUUCUACGAAAGUACCUCUUCAGGGGUCUUUCAUGAAAGGAAUUAGUUAAGAACAGGGUAGGCGGGGCUAGAGAGAUGGUAAAGAGCACUGGCUGCUCUACUGAAUUCAGGUUCAGUUCCCAGAUCUACAACAAACAAUUAAAUUUCAAGAAAAAUAAUAAUAACUUUUUAUUUUUGUUUUUCGAGACUGGGUUUCUCUGUGUAGCUUUUGAGCCUGUUGGAACUCAUUCUGUAGACUAGGCUGGUCUAGAACUCACAGAGAUCCUCCUGCCUCUGCCUCCUGAGUGCUGGGACUGAACCAUCACCUGGCCUGUAAAAAAAUCUUUUAACUAAGAACAUCAUAUGCAGAUGAAUUUGCUGCAGAAUUCUACAAGAGCUUUAGAGAUGUGAUGCUGAUCCCUUUAGCAUCAUUCCACAAAGUAGAAAUGAAGAAACAUUACCAAACUUUUUUUAUGGAGCUAGUAUUACCGUGAUAUCAAAAAUCAGACAGAUAACCAAGAAAGUUACAGACUGUAUCCUCAAUGAACAUAGACACAAAAAGUCUUACUAUAGCACAUUAAAAUUAAAUUCAAGACUGUAUCAAAAGGACCAUUAACUAUGAUUCAGUUAGCUUUGUUCCAAAACUGUGGGAACGGUUCAACAUAUGAAAAUCGGUAAAGAUGGCAAAGUUACUUGAAUGGACUCAAGCAUAGAAACCAUUGCAUCAUCUAAGUAGAUAUGGAACAGGUCUUGGACAAAAUUCAAUAUCUCUUCAUGGUAAAACUCCAAAGAGAUUAGGAAGAGAAGGAUCAUAUCUCAAUCCAAAAGGCUAUAUACAACAAACUAUAGUCAACAUUAUGUUAAAACAGAGAAAAUCUCAAAGCAGUUCCACUAAGUUCAGGACUAUUCCACACAGUACUUGAAGUCUAAACUAUUAUAGCACUAACAUAAGAGAAGGAAAUAAGAUGGAUGCACCAACUGAAACCACAGAAUUUCCCAGGGUUCCCUUGAUCUGAAGGAUUUAAAGAAGUGAGAGUCUGACUGUCAUGAACCUAAGAGUAAUAGAAUGUCUCUCUCCAUAUGCUCAAAACAAGUACAAUGCUGCCAGCAGUCCCUAGAGGAUUCUGUAACCUUCAUGACACAUUGCAUGGUUGCAGAUCAGCUCACUCAUGUCACACGCUCUUUCUGCUCAGAAUGCCUGGUUGUGUGGUGGCCAGUCCUCUAUUGAGGUUAGUCUCACAGUGUAACUGUCAGUGGGUAACACAUAAACUCAGUUUUAGUGAGAUUUAACAUUUUGGUCCCAGAGUUAGCUUCAGGAACUGCAGAUGGUAGACAAGCAAAUUAGAUUCUACUAGGAAGGCACAGUUGGAUAAAUUGAGAAUACAGACAAUCUGCAAGGCCCUAUUCUCUUCCAAAGCACUUUGGUAAGAGGUAACAAACAUUCUCGUGCACUUAGUCUAAUUGUAUUUGCUACUUUGAACAUAUGCAUAGCCCUGUCUUAGAAAACAACUUGUCCACUCCCAAAGGCAAUGUAAAUAAAAUCUAUGAACUCAAUAGGUGUUGAAUAGCUCAAAAUGAAUUGUUCAAGAAACAACAAAACACCAUUGUGCCUUUAGAAAUAAUAAGGAAGAAUUUGAUUCCAUGAAAUCAUUUGUUAGUACAGUAUGAGUAGUUAUUCUAGGCAUUGCAAAUUCAGGCUUAUUUGUAACCAAAUUACAGAGAUACAGAGGGAGGAUUUAAUCAUACUGUCAUGGUCAUGUUUUUUUCAAACUGGAGAGGCUGUGGUUUCUUUUAGUUUAUUAGUCCUCUGAGGUCACGAAAGCCCCUCUAACAGCUUGAAAUUAACUUGUGUACUUAAGGUAGCCCAAGACUAAGUUAGAAUUACAAUGUUAAGAUAGCUAGUGGGUACAUUCAAAUAAGUUAAUUAUAUUUAAAAAAAAAACACUUCCCCAUAUAUUUGCCACCCAAGGCUCUUAUGAGAUUUACUAUUUCAGCAAAAGUGGGGCUCAAACAUACAAUGAAAUUGACUAUAUUGCCUAGAACCACAAUGGUGCUAUUUCCAGGCCAUCUCAUUAGCAUAAAUAUUAGUAGCCAACCUAUUUGGAACGCCCUUGGAAAAGAAAUAUGUGAAGAAUAUCAAAAGAACAUAGCUCUUUUGGAGCAGGGCCUUGUUUACAAAACUUUACAACAAAGACCAACAUUAGAUGAGUGUAAUGGUUUCAUUACCUCCCCAGAGGACUAUAAAAAGAUGUCAAGUCACUUUAGAAUCUGCUGAGUUUGGAGUAAAUUAGCACAAAGUUGUACAAUGUCUUUUGCCUUGAGAAAGAAUAAACAUUUAGAAGAAAUUAGAAGCAAAGAUGAUUGCUUCCGAUUUCCUAUCUGGUGGGUCCUAAUAAAUUAAUAGGGUGCCAUCCAUACUUUGGCUUGAGGUGUUACUUACUCUUCAAAUGACAUCUGAUCUUGAGAAAUAAAGAUCUGCUCAGUCAUGCUUACUCCCAUGGGGCACCGCAGCUACUUUGUCCAGCUGAACUCACAGAGGGGCCUCAGGCCUGCACGAUGAACUAUAAUGAAGGCAGACCAAAGCAUUGCAGCAAAUGCAGUACCUUUUCUGUAAUAUAACUCUGUAAUAUUUAGUGUCUCCCAACCCCAAGGUCAGCUAGCCCUUUGAAACAGUCAUCCUAGUGGAAUCGCUAGAGUAGCAGUUUUCAACCUGUGGGUCGUGAUGCCUUUGGGGGUUGAAUGACCCUUUCACGGGGGUUGCACAUCAUAUAUCCUGCAUAGCAGAUAUUUACACUAAGAUUCAUAACAGUAGCAAAAUGACAGCUAUGAAGUAGCAAUGAAGAUGAUUUUAUGGUUGGGGGGUCAGCACAACACGAGGAGCUGUGUUAAAGGGUCAAAGCAUUAGGAAGGCUGAGAACCACUGCUCUACAAUAGAUUUGAAGUCUCUCCACCUCUGAUUUCCAUCGAAGAGGCAAGUUAGUCCUUGAGGCAUUGUUUUCUCAUCUGUGACAUGGUGAUAAAGUAACUUCAACUCUCAGAACCAUUGAAGGAAUGUAUGAGAAAAAUCACAAUGGCCCUCAGAAUUUGGUCUUCGUACCACCUUCACCCUCAAUGCUCUACAUCUGCUGCAGAUGUUUUGAUGGAGGGGUAAUCAGCCUUUGUGAGGGACUCCAUGUCCUAGUUGGUGACAGGAAGGCAAACUGAUGUAAAGUAUCAUCUAAUAUCUGUGAGGACUUCUACUGUGGGCUCCAGAAUUCCUCAGGGAGUCAGGAUGCAGGCACCUCAGCAGCCCUUUGCAGAGUAAAAAUUUUCCCACAUGAUCUAAUAUCACACCAUUCUGUGGUCAGCAUGGCUUUGGUUCCACUUUGUUCUCUACAGUUGUUAAGGCACAGCGGGCGGUGGGGUGGGGCUGCUCACACUAUGCUUGAGAACAGGGAAGGGAAAUUAUGGUUUUAUUCUGUUUAUAAGCAAAUUAACAGCCCCACACUGUUCUCAUCGGGUCUAGGGCAACUGACAGCAUGUCCCUAAGGUCCUGAGGCACCCAUCAGUUCAGGUCAAGCUAGUUCCUUGUGACUUAUGAUAAUGGCUCUCCUUAUGGAGGAAACGGGUUCCCACCUGACAUGAGGGGGAAAAUGAUGUUAGUUUGGGUAUCUAUUAUGAUGCUAUUGCUCUGAAAAUGAGUGGGAAGGGGCCUAGAAAACGUGGAAUUGUACUGGUGUUCAUUGCUGCACUAGUCACAUAACUAGGUUACAGAGUCAUCCUGACGCCAUCUGUGGAUGAGUGGGAAUAGAAAAUGUGCCUUAGGGCUUGGGAGGUGGCUUGCUGUGUGAGUCUGAUGCUCUGAUGGUGGAAGAUGAGAACAGACUCCCAAAAGUUGUCCCCUGAUCCCCACAUGCAGGCUAUGGCAUGCACAUGGUGUACAUGUAUGUGUGCUUGCACACAUGAAUGGGUGUGUAUGCACUCACACCCCCCCCCACAAACCACAGAUAUACUAUUAAUACUACCACUGCUAAGAGUAAUAAACAUUUUUAAAAGAGAGAAGGUGGCAUAUAGACACAGCAGGGUAUUAUUCAGCUGCACACAAGAAUGAAGUCAUGGCAUUUGCAGGAAUAGAGAUGGAGCUGAAGAGCCUUAUCUUAAGUGAAACAAAGCAGAUCCAGAGAAACAAACGCCACAUGAUUUCUAUCAUACACAGUAUCAAUUUUCUAAAAAAUAAAUGGGACUAGAAGGAUGUAUGUUUGUUGGCAGAGGUGCUUAUAGGGGCAUGGAGGGAGGCAAAAAAUGUUAAAAGACGAGUGGAUAUGAUUGCAGUUCUUGGAUGGAAAUGUCACAAUGAUGUCAUACAAAUGACAUAUGCUAAUAGAAUUUUUUCUUUUAAAUCACUGGCAGUGCUAGGGAGAUGGCUCAGUAGGUAAAAUGCUUGCUAUCCAAGCACAAGGCCCCAGGUUCAGAUCCCCAGCAGCCACAUAAGAAUAAAAAAGGGGGUCAGGGAGUAUUUAAUGUGCCUGUAAUCCAGUGCUAGCAGUGGGGUGGAGGGGAGAGACAAGUCAUGCUCUGAGCUUACUGGGCAGUCAGUGUAGCCAAGGGCAGAGCACAUAUUCAGGGAAAGACCCUGUCUCAAAAAACAGUUUAGAAAGCAGUAGAGGAAGACCCUGCAUUGACCUGUGGUCUCUGUACACAGAAAUGCCCACGCAUACACACACACACACACACACACACACACACACACACACACACACACACACACCAAAAGCAAUAGAUUUUUAAAACUCAAGGGUUCUCUGACAAUACUUUCAUUCAGCAAAUGUGCUGCUUUUUCCUCUUGUUUUCUUACCGGUGUCUGAUAAUUUAUUGAGUUUGUAUGCCAUGCAUUUAAAAUAAAUUCAAAUCUUCCUGGGAUUAAAGAAAACGCUUAUGCUCCUAGAACUCUUGUGUGGCUGAGCAACAUGGUAGUGCAUGUUUAUAGUCUCCUCACCGGACUGGAUUUACUUUGGGGAAAUGUCUUCUCUACAGAGCCAGUCUGAUGUUUCCAACGGCCAAACAUCAUGGAAUUAGUUUUUGAAGGGGAAAAAAUCACACUAUUAAAACUGUUAGCAAAAAAGAAAUCACCGAGAGGCCUUUGCUGAGCACAGAGCCUGUCUGGGGCCAAAGCAGCUGAGGACACACUGAAGGAGCUUGGCCGUUAGUGGCCAACGGAAAUUCUGAAGCAUAGCUAGAGCCAGCUCACCGACCAGCCCAACCACAGACAGCAGCCUGCAGCUGCAGGCUCUGGGAGGCAAACUGUGGCCAUGAAAAGAGCGAAGAUUUGGACACACACACACACACACACACACACACACACACACACAGUCAGAACAAGUCCAGUUGCCCAGUGGUGUCCAAACAAGGCAUUCUUUAGGAAAAAAUUUUAAAAAAUGACAACUCUGCAUUUUGGACAGAAAGUGUUCUGGUUUAUUAAUACCCUUUAUUUUUAUAGCCUGCACAUUUACUUUUUAAUCAUUUGUUUCUUGUUUGUGAAAGUAGUUUGCCUAAGCAUCUAAUGUCCCUAUUGAUUGCAUUCAUCAACAUUUGUAUUAUGGUAUCACUUUCUGGUCACUAUGGUGUUUACUUUUGUCUGUAGAUUUUAUUGUUUAAUUUACACAUAAGAUAAACUGUUGUGUGAUAUUUUGAUUGUGUUCUGAUAAAUAAAGCUUGCUUGGAGUCAGAGGGCAGAGUUAGCCACUAGCUGACCAAAAUUAACUACACAGAGGUUUUGGAAGACUGAGGAUAGAUAGGACAGGAAGUAGUAAGGUGGGCAGAAAGGGAUCUGGCUCACUGUCUGGAGGAAGGGACAGAGCAGGUAGGGAUGACUGGUGGCUUCUCUGAUCUUUCAAGCUCUUACCCCAAUAUCUGACUUCUGAAUUUUUAUUGAUAAAGAAUAAUUAGAACAAUGCUUCAUCAUACAGGUGUACAUAGUUAUAGGAUGCCAUGUGACAUUCUGGUAUGUUCAUAUGUUGUAUCAUCUUUAAAUCAAAUAAUCAUAAUGUGCAUUGAAGAAUACAAAUUAUAUCUUUUAAAAAUGUGUGUAUAUAUUUUGCUUGCAUGAGGCCAGAAGAAUCUUCAAGAGGUCAGAAGAGGUCAGAGGCCAGAAGUUUGACACUAGCUUGCAAAGCCUCAUAGGGCUGCUAUUAAGAAAGAAAUAAAGGAAGAAAGGAAGGAAGGAAGGAAAGGAGGAAGGAAGGAGGGAGGGAGGGAAGGAAGGAAGGAAGGAAGGAAGGAAGGAAGGAAGGAAGGAAGGAGGGAAGGAAGGUGCAUUUGCAUCCGAGACAAUUCCAAAGUUCCACAGUCAGUGUGUUAUGAGUCAUGAGACCUUUAUUUUCUUUCCUUUUUUUUUUCUUGUCUGUUCAUUCCUUUGUUUGUUUUUGAGAUAUGAUCUCCCCAUAACACAGACUGGCUUUAAACACACCAGGUAGUUAAGGAUCGCUUUGAACUCCUGAUCCCUUAUCCUGUAGCCUCCACUUGCUAUUUUCAGUGCCUAGGUUAUAGGCAUAUGCCAUGACACCCAGGUAGUAAUCUUUUUCUUAACUAGUAUAAGCCAGUUUGUGUCUGAAUGAGGCCACAUUGUGAGGACUAGUUAAGGAUUCACCUAAGUGGACAGGAAUUCAGUUAUACGACCAAAACUCCUGGAUUGCUGGAAACAUCUGGAGGGCUGACUCUGAAAGACACAGUCUGAGCCCCAACUGAUAUUUUUCUUGGUGUACAUCCCCGUGUGAGUCAUAAGUGAGCUAAAAAUGGAGUGGCAAAAGGAGACAAUGAAAGCCUGGGCAAAGCAGAGCUCCCCACCACCAAUUACCAUAUGGGUGGCUUCAACUGCUCAGAGUGUGGAACCAGGAAGCGACACUCAAGGCAGUGCUGGGGGCACAAUGAUGAGCAUAGUGGUGUGUGUGUGUGUGUGUGUGUGUGUGUGUGUGUGUGUGUGUGUGCGCGCGCGCGUGCGCAGUAGGGGACUGUGGGGAGACUUGUCUCUUCAGAGUCAAGGCACAAAAGGCACAAGGCAGAUGGGGGGUGGAAGGUAGGGUGGAAGAGCAUAGCCCAAACAAGGGAACCUUGGUUUGAGGCUGGUAGGGAGUAGGAGUAGCUAGAAAGAACUCUGCCCCGUGUUUGCGUAAGUAGAACUUCAUUCAUUCCAGCAAGGCAGAGAGAGGCUUCAGCAUUUGUUAUUCACAGUACACAGUGGUUUUGUUUGUAUGUUUGUUUGUUUGUUUUUCAACAGUAGUGAUCAGUGUUCUGCAUUUUACACAUAAACAGGAAUAAGGAGUGACUAGGGCAUGGAAGGAAAUGCCUGAGAAGAAACUACUUUGUGAUCAAUACCUUAAAAUUGUCAGCCAUGACACAGAGAGAGGUGCAGCCUUAACCCAUCCCUCACAAUAUUCUGAAAGAGUACUUUUCCUUUUUAGAGGCCUUUCUCUGCUCAGUCAAAACCAGUAUUCAUGGUGUCAAGAGGAGGAGGUUAGCAUUGCAAGCUUAGCCAUUAUGCAGCAGAGUUAGAGAGAGAUGUUUUAGUGUAAAUCUAAGCAGGUUAAAAAGAAAAAGACACCAGGGAAGGAAUAGUAGACACACCCAACGGUGGGAUGGGUUUCUCCAGGGAGAGUCACAGUUAGGCUUCUUUACAACAGAUACAGAUAGGAGUUUGGUGGCCUUCAAGUUACAUCUGUAAAGGUUGCUAAGAAGCCUCUCUUUUAUUUUAACACCAGCCCCAAAAUGUAGUUUAUGGGAGGAUGGGAGGGAGAAGGAACUUGGAUUGAUAUGUAAAAUAAGAAUUAAUUAAAAAAAGAAAGAAAAAAGUUAAAGAAUCUUCUUUAAUAAAUAAAUUUGUAAAGUGGACUUAUGAAGGGCAUUGUUUAGACUUAGCCAAGAGAGGGGGGAGCCCACAGACAACACUUUACUUGCCACAUUCAGAAUCACUCUUGGAGAUGUCUCUAGACAAACAUGGGUUCCUCAGUAGAUAAUGUUGACUUUAUCAGUUUCCUGACACCAUCAGUUGGACAGGCAAGCUAGGCCCAGAAACAAUGGGCAAUUUUCCUUUCCUGGCAUGCCUCAAUGUUCCCUGUCUUUUUACCCUGCCUCAAAAUCAUGCUCCUGUCAUGAGGAAUGGCCCACAUACGUGCAGAUGAAAUACUGCUACUAUGCUGAGAGUGUCAAGAAAAGAAUUGAUCCUUCUUCGUAUUACCACACCAGGAAGGAGAUACCAUGAUCUUGUCUGCUCCCAAAGGAGGUUAACUGAAGCUCAGGGAAGCAUCUUUCCAAGCUCUCCACCACCAGCCACGCAGCCAGUCCUGUCUGACUCUGAAAUCCUGAGGUUGUCAAUUUCCUCUGUUGUCAUCUUUAAAUCACUAGUUUCCAAGCCCUUCCACAUACACCACAAUAGUUGGACUUCCCAAUGACUCAGCAAGCAAAGUUGGUAUCAGACCAUAGCUAGCCUCUGUGGUUUUAUCAUCACAGAAGUGCACAUGAUAAUGGUGUCUAAAUCACUCACAGGGCCAUAGUUUCAGAAAAAUUACGGGAUGCGGAACUAUGCCCGUAAUGCAGAAACUAACACCUUUAACUGAGAUGUGGAGCAGCUGGUGGAGACUGUUCUACAGGCCAAGAGUGAAGCUGGGGAGGGGAGAGACUUUCCCCAAGAACAUCAGCCUGGAAUGAAUGGAGCUGGGAUUUAGGGUCAUUUAGGGCUAAGAAUCCUUUGCCCUGUAUCUUCUCAGUUCCAAGUGGUUCAUGACUUUGCUCCACGGCCUUCAGGGUCUUGCCUUCCCCAGGGCUCCUGGCUGCUAGGAUGACACACAUUUCCUCUGGCUGAAGAUGUGUGGAGACUCUGCCUGGAAGCUUGGGAAAGGAAUUUUCCCCAUUUUGUAGUCAGAAACAGCUUAGAAAAGUAUGACUCAGAGCACUUCUUCUUCCUAUUUCCCACAAGCAAGGUCAUGCACUGGGUAUGUUGCCUGAAGGCCUGAUGGUGCAUGAAAUGAUGCACCAUGGAAAUGAAGACAUGUAGCUGAAGAUGCCUGGCUAUAAUCGUGAGUGAGCAACUUUGCAGUAUGAUGAGCCAUAGAGGGAGAGAAGAGUGGAGGAGGUAAAUGUUUUCAGAUUUGCACGUGCAGCAAUAAGAUGCUAGAGCUGAUUGCUAAUUGCUUAAAUAUAUGAAGAAAUUUCAAGAGAGGCAGAACUACAAACAUUUUUCUG